Long non-coding RNA from Helianthus annuus (common sunflower), 2473 nucleotides. RefSeq lists it as uncharacterized. The record is from RefSeq and is a predicted model, not a curated record. NCBI's taxonomy places the organism in Eukaryota, Viridiplantae, Streptophyta, Magnoliopsida, Asterales, Asteraceae. The transcript is spliced from 2 exons.
CCUUUAAAGUAUAGGCGCAAGAAAUCAGAUUUGGCGAAGACAAAUUAGGUUGGAACUUGGGAAGUGAAUCGUUCUCCUGGAGUUUUGCCUUCUGCUACUCUCAUAGUUCGAUGGCGGAAUCAGAGAUUCCAAGUAUAACGUCUCUCUUUCUAUUCUAAAUCUAAACCUUAUGUUCCUCUGCGAUUGUGUAAAGGUUCUGGUAAGUUGAUUGCUUGGAAAAAGGGUGCAAUCUGUUCAUUCAGUUUUAUUGUUUAAAGAAAGGAAGCACUUAGUUUAAUAUGGAACUUUGAGAAUAAGUCAGAUGAGACUACAAGAGCUACUAGGGACGUGAAUGCGCAAAGAAACAACCCAACUAUAACAUGAACCUUUUUUAUUGGUACAUUUAUCGUUUUACCCUUUUACUAUAGGUGUUGUUUAUAUUUAGUAUGUUAAUCCCACCGUCUCACAUAUGAGUUUACAUUUGAUCUUAUUUUUAAAUGUCAAAUGGUGUUUCAGUAGUCAUUUUAAAGCCUAGAUAAAAGAUAUCCUGGUGCUUCAAUAGUCGUUUUAAAGCCUAGAUAAAAGAUAUCAUUUUUAAUAAUGAAAACUAGAAAAGCCCCAAAUUUUCGUUUCGCUUUAGGCCUCUAAGAAGGUUGAGCCGGCCUUGCACAUGAGGGUAGGUUAGUAAUUUUACCUAUUAUAUUUAAAAUACAUAUUAUUUUACCAAUCAUUCACAUCCACAGAACCAAAUCUUAUCCCCUUUCUUUAUCUCCUCUCCCAUGUCUCUCUCUCUAGAAAACAGCCGUCCACCACCCUUGGUGGUGGAGCCACAGCUGAAGCGCCAACCACCACCACCACCCCAUCCUUCGACACCCACCCACCACCACCUACAACCCCACUUCUUUUGGUCCACCCUCUUUCCACCUCCCUCCUAAUCUCCCCAACCUCCAACCUGAACACCCCCUUCCAGAUUCCCAGAAUCUAAAAACACAAAACUUAUCAAAAACCCAAAACACAAAACUUAUCAAAAACCUAGGACCAAUAAACAACAGUUUCCUCCAUGAAUCGACGGUGUUCGAUUGACAAACUUUGAAGAUUCCGAGAAGGAAAGCGAGUGCGAAAGGUUUGUUUGUCCGAUCAACUUCUGGGAUUUAUAGAUCUGUGCUUCUUUAGCUGUUCGUUCGAUCGGAUUGUUGUUUUUCAGUUUUGAUCUUGAUCUACGAUUCGUUGUUUUUUAAUUAGAUGGUGCCUCUGUUGUUAUGAAAUUGUAAUUAAAUGUAAUUACAAUUUUCGUAAUUGUGGAAUUAAAUUCUCUGAAUUCACCGAUUCUGCUAUUUUGAUUCUCUGAAUUUUCCUUUUUUAGUCUCUUUAAUAUUGAGUAUUUAAUGUAAUUUAAAUUUUGAUUGUGGGCAAGUUUGAUGUGAUUUACAAUCUAGUUCUGGAGAUAUACAUUAAAGAUUGAAGAUGCUAACAAAUAAACAGGUCUCAAAUAAUUAAAGGGCUGGAGAUAUACAUUAAUGUUUUUUUUUUUGUAAUUUAAAUAGAUUGGGGUAAAAAGACAUAAAUACCCUCAUGUGCAAGGCACAUGCCAUGUUUAACUGAAAAUUUUAGCCUAGUUAGUGCUAAACGACGUAUAGUGUAAUGAGUUUUACAAAUAAAGGACUGUGACUGUAAUUAUUAAAGUUAAAGGAUAUCCACUGCAAUCCGAUAUAAACAUAAAGGACGAAAAGUGUAAUUUACCCUUUUUUUCAAGUAUUCUUGAUGUAUAUUUCUUCUAGUAACAAAUAACUAUUAAUUAUACAAGACUUGAGAAAGAGUUAAGAGUCUCGAUUAAUUAGAGACUUAACAAUCUAAUAAAAACUAAUCAAAUAUCAUCAAUCAAACUCUACUAAAAAAUUUUAUCAUACAAAGAGUUUAAUAUUAUUAAUUUCAAUAAAUUAAUAUCCAACAGCAUAUGCAUUAAUACGUAUAUUUCUUGAGUAGUUCUUUUUGGUCUUUAUCUCAUGUUUGUUAUCUAUUCCUUAAUUUUUUUUUUUCAUUUUUUGGGUCCUGCUACGCGGUAAACAAAUAGAGUAUAUUAUGUUAUUUUUUUUAGUUCUUUUUGGUUUUUAUCUCCUCUUUGUUAUCUAUUCCUUUUUUUUUCUUACCGUUAUGUGGUUCUCUUCUUCAAAGUUUGUUUUUUAUAACCAAAUCUAUUUAAAAAAAAAUUAUAGCAUUUUAACAUAUCUUUUUCAUGCGGUGUUUCUCUUCUUCCAAGUUUGUUUUUAUAGGUACAGGAUCAUGAGAAAACGCCUAAAAGUGUGAGAACGGUGAGAACGCAUCCUGGCCCAACAUGUGGCGCGGGAUAUGAUCAAGGCGUGAGGGGUUUUUUUUGUCUUUUCAAUCUUCUUUUAUUUUCCCAACACGCUAUAACAUUUUCUAGCGUCUAAGAUUAUUUUUGGCGUUAAUUGUAUUCAUUAAACUUUUUGGCGUUGAAUUAAUUGUUUUUGUGUCA